GCCACUGGCCUACGCCACAGCCACAGCAACAUGGGAUCCAAGCCGUGUCUGUGAACUACACCACAGCUCACGGCAACACCAGAUCCUUAACCCGCUGAGCAAGGGCAGGGAUCAAACCCGCAACCUCAUGGUUCCUAGUCGGAUUCAUUAACCACUGCGCCAUGAUAGGAACUGCAAGAGUUCCUUGGCUUUGAGGGCUCCACGUGGCCUGAUGUCGUUUCCCCUUUUCCUCGCUUCUGGACCCCCAGCCUUCUGGCCAACGCUGCCAGGCAGGAGUCCAUCUGCCCACUCUCCUUAGGCCAGCCAUCAGACAUGCAGAUAAGUCAGGUUUGGUGGGGCGGCUGGCCAAGAGCAGGGAGAGGAGGCGGGUUGAACUGCUCAGGCUGCCGGGUCAAGUAAACACCAUCCCCAGGGGAGACGACAAGGAGGGCCAGCAAAGACGGGGACAGGCAGGUCAAGUCUAGGAAAGGAGUCUUGGGGAAUAAGGCCAUGGUGGGAGAAAAGCCCAGCCUGGCCUCACACGUCUAUGACCCGGCUAUGUCUGUGUGUCCUUUUCAGACUGUCAUUAUUUCUUUGUGGGUGAUUUGGAUCCCCAACUAUCUCCUCCACCUACCCAUGAGCCCUGCAAGGGCAGGGAUGGGGUCAGUGUUGACUCCUUCUGUGGCUCUACACGUAACCAUAAGGAGUGCUUAUGAAUGUUUGUUGAAUGACUGAGUGACUCCGUUAGUCAACAAACCCCACUAGUAUCCAUGAGGACACAGGUUUGAUCCCUGGCCUCGCUCAGUGGGUUAAGGAUCCAGCGUUGCCGUGAGCUGUGGUGGAGGUUGCAGAUGCGGCUCGGAUCCCGCAUUUCCAUGGCUGUGGUGUAGGCCAGGGGCUACAGCUUCCAUUGGACCCCUAGCCUGGGCACCUCCAUAGGCCGCGGAUGCGGCCCUAAAAAGACAAAACAAAACAAAACAAACAAAACACAUGAGGAGUUCCCUGGUGGCCCAGGUAUCAGGCCAGCCUGGUUUGCUGGAACCCAGGGUCUUGUUCCUGGUGACCAGCCAGAUCUAGGGACCCUGACACAGAAGGGUUUGCCAGGGCUGACAAGAUGCCCAGCAUCAGGAGGGGCCCGCGAAGUUUCCCCCGGCUGGGAGUGGGGAGCGAGGGCCUCCCAGCCAACCCGUGUGGUCACACACAUGCAGGGAGCCUGCCUGGGGCUAGAGGGCUGGCCAGGAGCCAGAGCCUUCUCCUACUCAGUGACAGCCCCCUGCUUGCUUCCAGCCGCCCUCACUCCUUUUCCCUGGGUCUUCCUGGAGGGAUCAGCCCAGACCGAGGGCCGUUUGCCAGGGGCCACUGCAUCUCCAGGAGAAGACAGAGACCCAGGCUCCCAGGAUGCAUCCCUGGGCCCUGCAAAUUGCUUCCCACCCACCAGCUUGGCCCAGUUCAAUUCAUAGCAAUAUGACAGUCCUUCUAGGCUGGCAGCCCCAGUCCACUCAAGGCGAAGCUAAAGGGGGGAAAAGGGUCCCGCAGAAACAGGACUCCCUCUGCCCCCCCCAUCCCCACCUCCUCCAACUUUUUGGCCCCACGCCAGGCUUCUGGGCAUGGGAACCUCUCAGUGUCGUGGGGAAGGGAAGCAUUGUCCAAGUGGUUCCACACUGUUGAGUCACUGGAGCUCUGUGGUCACGUCUGUCCAUCUGUGCCCAGGCAAGGGUCCCCAUUAACUGGAAGGUGACUGUGAGCAAAGGACCUGGUGCAGGCUCAGGAUACACACAGCAGGAGGGGGUUCAGAGGCCUGCUGACAGACCCCAGCUGCCAUGUCCCCAGUGUGGAGACUCCUGCAUGGCAGGUGCUAGCAGACAGCACCCCCAGGAGAGCCACACCCCAUCCCCCCACACCUCCAGGGAAACACCCAGUACCGACCACCAAUCAGACAGACAUGCCAACGGUGCACAGCCAGGCUUGCUCAGCUUGGGAUCGGGAAGACCCAGAGCCCAGGGCAGAGCCUUGAACUCUGCCCUGCUCUCCGCCAGACCCUUCCCUAAGCUGCAGGCUUCCUGCUCCAGCAAGAAGACCCACCCCCUCCCCAGAGAACAAUGACUCCAUCCUUGUCCCUCUGACUCCAGCUUUCCUGGCCUCCCCCAGCCUCCAGACAUACCCCAGGGGCUCUGGUCUCAAAGGAGCCCAACCCAAUCGCACAUUUCCGAGUAAAAGGGAACAAAAGGCCCCUGCCUGAGGAGGUGGAAGGGUGAGCCCAGAAGAACGGGCCAACUGCACCUCUGGGACAGAGGCCCAGGGAGGGGUCUCCUCUCUGCUCCGGCUCCAGCAGUGCAGCCACCAAGCCCUCUGAGGCCAGGAGUAACUUGUACCUACCCUGGUUGGAAAUGAAACGUGGUGAGACAUGUAGCGAGGGCUGAACCAUGGACAAUCUCCAUGGCUUUACAAGGAACACAUUAGGCCUAGAGAAGGUGCUGGGGGUGCUGAGGGGCUGGGAGGCAAAGGCGCAGGCAAGUCAAUCCCCUCACCGGCAGCCCCCUCCUUCUGGUGCAACCAGAGGCCCACCAACUGUCUCCCCUGAGCCCCCGAGCUCCUUAAGCGGAGCCCCAGUGCCCAGGGCUAGGGUGACAGGUGAUCCUGGGGUCCCUGUCUCCCCCGGGCCGCGGAUAUAGUCACGCGGGUGUGUGGGUCGCUCACCCUGACUCUGCGCAGCUGCGCAGAGGGAGCGGGGAGAAGGCAGCGCAACUUGAUGCUGACUCAUCUCAAGCUAUUACGUGCAGCGACCCCUUCAGGACUCGCCUUUUGGGGGGCGGGAACGAGAUCGCUCAGUUCUCCGAGGCCGGCCUAGAGGCCCAGGUGCAGGGGUUUGGGUGCAGGGGGUGUCGCCGCUAGGGCUCGGCUGGGACUGGGGGCGUCCUGCCUCCACCUUCCUCCCCCCGCCAGCUCUGUCACGCUCGGCCGACUCCACAAGAGGCACCGUGGGUCUCGACUCUUCCCCUGCACGGGUCACGUUCUUGAAGUCCGCCGAAUGGGGCCCCCCCCGCCCCCGCCCCCUUGGACGCCAGGGUCUCUGCCAGGGACUGGAUGUAAUCAUAAAUCACCACCCGCCCCCCCGCGUGCUGGGCACUGGCGUGUUGGGCGGGCGCGGACUGGGGGCCACGGGAUGCGGACGCGGACCAGUGGGUGCCACGGGGAAGCACAGCCAAGGCGCGAGGCGGCACCGCAGGGCUGGGGCUGAGCGGGCCGGGGGGCGGGGCCGCGACCGAGGGGCGGGGGCGUCGCCGCCUCGGAGGCCUCGGGGUUGGGCGCGCCCCUCAGACCCGCCCCAGCGCACUCACAGCGCGGAGCCAGCGCGGCCCCUGCUGGUCUGUGCUGCGCACGGUCCCUGCGCCCGAUCCCCGGGAAGGGGACCCUAAGGACCGACGGACUCAGACGGGGUCUUAACGCUAAGCCCCCUACCAGGGCUGUGCGGGGAGUAAAGCCACGGUGGCUAACUUAGCAGUGACCUUCGCAGACCUCUCCAGGCUCCCUCGUCCACUUGCCAGCAGUGCCCACAUGCAUGCAAGGGCUCAGCGGUCCUAGGACCUACCCCUAGCAGCACGCCCACCAGGGUCAGGGCUCUUCCUGGUACUUGUCGCUCAGACAAAGAAAGCACAGCUUUGGAUGAGGGACUGUCUCAAGCAUUGCCAAUUCACUCAUCUGUUCCACAUUUAUUGAGCGCUGGGGCGGGGGGGGUGGCGGGGGCCUGCCUCCGGACUGAGGAUCAGCAGAGUCCCAGAUUUCCUCUUUCUCCCACUUUGCCCCACGUUCCCCUGCCCUGCUGUGCCCUGGCCUGGCAGUGCAAACCUUAGCUUGGAUGGCUGUGUCCUGGAGGCUCCAUCCAACAAGCAAGGGAGCACAGGUAAAGGGCAGAGGGGGCUGGCCUCUCAAAGAGCCUUUAUUUCUCAAGAAGGAAUGAGGCUGCAGGCCAAAGGCUAUGCUGUAACCCCGCAGUGGGGGGGGGGGAGUUUAUGAUUACAUCCAGUCCCUGGCAGAGACCCUGCCCAGAGCCAUCCAUUGCCAGGCUCCUGGUGUGAGGGACCUUGGAGUCCUGGGGCUCCCCCUUGUCACCUCACUCCUCCAAGGGCACUGCUUGCCAGCCUCCACUGCCCCGUAAACCAGAAUGAGUGUGGGGCCCCUGGGGUGCAGGCAGCUAGGCACUGCUGCUCCUGCUCUCCUACCAGACAUGCCCACCGGGGCAUCAGCAGGUCCUUCUGCCCACCUUGCUACAGGUCUGUGCCCAGAGAGGCAGCACAGCCUGGACACAUUGGCCCAAUUUGUAGGAAGAGGCCAGUUGCUCUUGGGCCAAGUUCACUCUCAGGGACACCGUGGACCAGGAUACAGAGCCAGGAAUGCUGGGAGAAGUGAGCAAAGUCCAAGGAGGCCCACGGGCCCCAGAGCCCAAGCUCCCUGCUGACGUGCAACUGGCUCCAGCCCCAGCCCAGCCACCUUCCACAUGCCUGCUGCCAUCGGGCUGAACUCAAGCGGCAGCCGCCUUCCUUCCCAGAGCUACUUCCUCAUGAGGGGUAAGUGAGGACAGGGACAGGUGUGGGGAGAGAGGACAUGAGGUUGAGGAGCCUCAGGCAAGGCCAUCACCUCUCUGGGCCUCCUGUCCCCCCUGAAAAUGAACACCUGCCCCUAGGCUUAGGGGAGACUUUCAGGGUGGUGAUUCUUGUGAAGAUGCACCAAGCUCUCACUGCUCACCCACCGUGGACACACCUGGGCCAGCGCUGGGCUGUGACAGUGCCUCAGGGCUGGUGAUGACCCUGACUCCACUUUAGCCAAUGACCAGCUUGGGACACAGAGGGGAAGCCGGUCAGAGACACAAGCUGGAAACACAGGGUGGGGGACCCAUUCUCUGCAACCCCAGGUAGGGGGGUCCCUAGCAGCUGCCAUCAGUGGUGGCUGCCAGCAGAGCAGAGAUGGAUGUGUUUUCUAGACAAGGAGGCUGCCACACUGUGUGUGUAUGUGUGUGUAUGUGUGUGUGGGUGGCAGGGGGACAAGCAGCAGGAAGCCCCUUCUGCAUGGGUUCCUCUGCCUUGGCCUCCCUGGUACUUUGUCGAUACCGCCCCCUCCCCCCUGCCACGUACACACCUCUGCUUGGUGUCUCAGCUCCAGCCCAUGUGCUCGGAACACAUGCAGCCACGCCACCAUCUUCCUGUGCCCUCACCCAACAAGGGCACAGGCUGGGUUCCACAGGAAGGUGAAGUGCUCCACUCAAGGUCGCAGCGUUAGGUGGAGGCUCACCAAGGGCCAGAGCAGAGACGCUGGCCUGUGGCUGGGAAGGGCCCCAUCACCAAGGAGCA
RNAcentral lists this long non-coding RNA (5324 nucleotides) under Sus scrofa (pig). RNAcentral describes it as "lncRNA (ENSSSCG00005039977.1)". The record is from RNAcentral. Lineage: Eukaryota; Metazoa; Chordata; Mammalia; Artiodactyla; Suidae.